This 525-nucleotide ribosomal RNA is filed under the name uncultured Alphaproteobacteria bacterium. RNAcentral describes it as "bacterial SSU rRNA". It matches the Rfam family "Bacterial small subunit ribosomal RNA", at positions 378 to 919 of the family's 1533-position model. Lineage: Bacteria; Pseudomonadati; Pseudomonadota; Alphaproteobacteria. The record is from RNAcentral.
CAACCCUGAUCCAGCCAUGCCGCGUGAGUGAAGAAGGCCCUAGGGUUGUAAAGCUCUUUCAGGUGUGAGGAUGAUGACAGUAACACCAGAAGAAGCCCCGGCUAACUUCGUGCCAGCAGCCGCGGUAAUACGAAGGGGGCUAGCGUUGUUCGGAAUUACUGGGCGUAAAGGGCGUGUAGGCGGACGAUCAAGCUAGAGGUGAAAGCCCAGGGCCCAAACCCUGGAACUGCCUUUAGAACUGAUUGUCUAGAAUCCGUAAGGGGAGUGUGGAAUUCCUAGUGUAGAGGUGAAAUUCGUAGAUAUUAGGAAGAACACCAGUGGCGAAGGCGACACUCUGGUACGGUAUUGACGCUGAGGCGCGAAAGCGUGGGGAGCAAACAGGAUUAGAUACCCUGGUAGUCCACGCCGUAAACGAUGUCUGCUAGCCGUUUGGUCACUUAGUGACUGGGUGGCGCCGCUAACGCAUUAAGCAGACCGCCUGGGGAGUACGGUCGCAAGAUUAAAACUCAAAUGAAUUGACGGGGG